Molecule: ribosomal RNA, 336 nt
Filed under: Pseudomonas aeruginosa
Lineage: Bacteria; Pseudomonadati; Pseudomonadota; Gammaproteobacteria; Pseudomonadales; Pseudomonadaceae
Description: bacterial SSU rRNA
Rfam family: Bacterial small subunit ribosomal RNA
Source: RNAcentral
UCCAGAGAUGGAUUGGUGCCUUCGGGAACUGUGAGACAGGUGCUGCAUGGCUGUCGUCAGCUCGUGUUGUGAAAUGUUGGGUUAAGUCCCGCAACGAGCGCAACCCUUAUCCUUUGUUGCCAGCGGUCCGGCCGGGAACUCAAAGGAGACUGCCAGUGAUAAACUGGAGGAAGGUGGGGAUGACGUCAAGUCAUCAUGGCCCUUACGACCAGGGCUACACACGUGCUACAAUGGCAUAUACAAAGAGAAGCGACCUCGCGAGAGCAAGCGGACCUCAUAAAGUAUGUCGUAGUCCGGAUUGGAGUCUGCAACUCGACUCCAUGAAGUCGGAAUCGC